This 880-nucleotide long non-coding RNA is filed under the name Brassica rapa (field mustard). Its description in RNAcentral is "long non-coding RNA (BRAP_LNC003672)". The record is from RNAcentral. Lineage: Eukaryota; Viridiplantae; Streptophyta; Magnoliopsida; Brassicales; Brassicaceae.
AAAGUCACAAAAAUAGGUUUCAUUAAAGAGGUAAAUAUACACUUAUACCCCUUGGGUUAAUUAAUCCAAACCUUAGGGUUUAGAGUUAAGGGGGUGGGGUUUUGGAAUUAGGGUUUAAAAUUUUAUAAAAAAUAAAUACUAAAAUAAAAAAAAAAAAUUUUAAAAACAGUUUCAAAAAGUAUUUUUAAAUUAUAAAAAGAAAAUUUGAAAAAAAAAUAAAAAAAAUUCGAAAAAAAAAUUUCAAAAAAAAAUUAUAAAAAUUUCGAAUCUGAAAAAUAUAAUCUGAAACUAUAAAAAAACUUUCUUUUUUUCAUUUUUUUAUUUUUAUUUUAUUUAUUUUUGUUUGUUUAUUUAAUUUUAAACCAAGGGUAUUAGGGAUAUUUUACCCUUUAAUGAAUAUCAUUUUUGUGACUUUCUCCUUCUAGUGCUAUUUUUGUGACACAAACUUCAAAAGGUGAUAUUAUUGACAAUUGCCCUUAAAAUAUAAUAGAUAUAUUUUAAUAUUUUCAUAAUUUCAAUUUUAAUUUUUUUUAUUAAUUUUUUUUUACUUUUGUAUAUAUAUUGAUUUAAAAAAAAAUAAAAAUUUACCCUCCCGCAACUGCCUGCAACCGCAAACGCUAGCUGGAGCCAGCUUUUGAAUUUAUGAGAUUCUGAGCGGUUUGAAGCGGUUUAGAGCGAUUUGAGUGAUUGUUGCAAACCGCCGACAACCGCUACCAACCGCAAAAGCAGCGUUUGCAGAUGGUAGCGGAAAAACCAGUCGCACAAUUAAUAGAAUAUAUGGUAUAUUUGUAUUUUAAUAUUUUUACAUAAUUUAAAUGAAUACCCAUAUUUGAACUGAACCCGUAAUGAUCCAAACUGAAUUCGAACUAAAAUUUAUAAA